RNAcentral lists this ribosomal RNA (484 nucleotides) under uncultured bacterium. RNAcentral describes it as "partial 16S ribosomal RNA". It matches the Rfam family "Bacterial small subunit ribosomal RNA", at positions 30 to 507 of the family's 1533-position model. The record is from RNAcentral.
AUUGAACGCUGGCGGCAUGCCUUACACAUGCAAGUCGAACGGCAGCGCGGGAGCAAUCCUGGCGGCGAGUGGCGAACGGGUGAGUAAUACAUCGGAACGUGCCCAAUCGUGGGGGAUAACGCAGCGAAAGCUGUGCUAAUACCGCAUACGAUCUACGGAUGAAAGCAGGGGAUCGCAAGACCUUGCGCGACUGGAGCGGCCGAUGGCAGAUUAGGUAGUUGGUGAGGUAAAGGCUCACCAAGCCUUCGAUCUGUAGCUGGUCUGAGAGGACGACCAGCCACACUGGGACUGAGACACGGCCCAGACUCCUACGGGAGGCAGCAGUGGGGAAUUUUGGACAAUGGGCGAAAGCCUGAUCCAGCCAUGCCGCGUGCAGGAUGAAGGCCUUCGGGUUGUAAACUGCUUUUGUACGGAACGAAACGGUCUUUUCUAAUAAAGAAGGCUAAUGACGGUACCGUAAGAAUAAGCACCGGCUAACUACGUG